RNAcentral lists this transfer RNA (76 nucleotides) under Staphylococcus aureus. RNAcentral describes it as "tRNA-Asp(gtc)". It matches the Rfam family "tRNA". Rfam says of the family: Transfer RNA (tRNA) molecules are approximately 80 nucleotides in length. Their secondary structure includes four short double-helical elements and three loops (D, anti-codon, and T loops). Further hydrogen bonds mediate the characteristic L-shaped molecular structure. tRNAs have two regions of fundamental functional importance: the anti-codon, which is responsible for specific mRNA codon recognition, and the 3' end, to which the tRNAs corresponding amino acid is attached (by aminoacyl-tRNA synthetases). tRNAs cope with the degeneracy of the genetic code in two manners: having more than one tRNA (with a specific anti-codon) for a particular amino acid; and 'wobble' base-pairing, i.e. permitting non-standard base-pairing at the 3rd anti-codon position. The record is from RNAcentral. Lineage: Bacteria; Bacillati; Bacillota; Bacilli; Caryophanales; Staphylococcaceae. RNAcentral also lists the same sequence under 2 other names.
GGUCUCGUAGUGUAGCGGUUAACACGCCUGCCUGUCACGCAGGAGAUUGCGGGUUCGAUUCCCGUCGAGACCGCCA